UACCCUUGACAUGUACGGAAGACCGGAGAGAUCUGGUUGUGCUCGAAAGAGAACCGUAACACAGGUGCUGCAUGGCUGUCGUCAGCUCGUGUCGUGAGAUGUUGGGUUAAGUCCCGCAACGAGCGCAACCCUUGUCAUUAGUUGCUACGAAAGGGCACUCUAAUGAGACUGCCGGUGACAAACCGGAGGAAGGUGGGGAUGACGUCAAGUCCUCAUGGCCCUUAUGGGUAGGGCUUCACACGUCAUACAAUGGUACAUACAGAGGGCCGCCAACCCGCGAGGGGGAGCUAAUCCCAGAAAGUGUAUCGUAGUCCGGAUUGUAGUCUGCAACUCGACUACAUGAAGUUGGAAUCGCUAGUAAUCGCGGAUCAGCAUGUCGCGGUGAAUACGUUCCCGGGUC
This 400-nucleotide ribosomal RNA is filed under the name uncultured bacterium. RNAcentral describes it as "bacterial SSU rRNA". It matches the Rfam family "Bacterial small subunit ribosomal RNA", at positions 976 to 1380 of the family's 1533-position model. The record is from RNAcentral.